RNAcentral lists this small nucleolar RNA (58 nucleotides) under Ornithorhynchus anatinus (platypus). Its description in RNAcentral is "C/D box snoRNA Oa2712". Lineage: Eukaryota; Metazoa; Chordata; Mammalia; Monotremata; Ornithorhynchidae. The record is from RNAcentral.
CACAAUGAUGACCAAAUUUUGACGGAAUCAACACAUGUUGAUUGUUAUCCCUGGCUGA